AGUACAACUGCCCCACAGGGUUUCCAACGAGCGCACCUGGUGGAUUCAAACUGCCAACCUUUUGGUUAGCAGCUGAACUCUUAACCACUACGCCACCAGGGUUUCCUGAGUAUUGUACAGACUUUCAUAAUUCCGUAUCUCUUCUAUAGGUCUCUCUGCCUGGAAAACUCACAUUUCAAGGUCAAAUGAAAUAGCAUCUCCUCCUUGCUGCCUUCCGUGAGUCCUUCCAUUUCUCAGCCAGAUCAUUCUGCCUAAGAGAAAGCCAGACAGCCUGUUACGGAAUGAAACCAGCAAACUUGGCAUUGUGGGCAUCGGACUGUAAUCAGCAGUGCUUCUGACCACAGUAUCCCCCCCUCAACAGGGCCCUUCUCCUGGACGUGGUUAACAGCAGCCUGGGAGUCUGAAAGAGCCAAGGAGGCUCCUCACCUACCGUCCUCAGUGCCCCAGAGUGACCAGGGUCCUAAAAAGACAGCUUCUGUCCAAAUAUUUCCUUGCCAAACUGCAAACGGAUACACUUAAAUCACAGACUAUUGGAAUUACUUACAAUUAAUUGCUUCCAAUCAGAAGAGGAUGCCUUUGCUGACCUGAUUACCAUCAUGUACGAACCACAAGAUAUGGGUAAAGGCAAAACAAGAGAUAAGGUUUUUUAAUUAUGGCCAGCUGAAGUAGGACACAUGAUUCUUCACAAAAUGGCACUCAGCUCUUCUGACAAGGGAACGACAGCAUAUUAGGGUGAGUAGAAGGCUUUUCUGGGGCUUCAUGCAAUACUGUAGGUUCUGUUUGUUCCCCUUAAAACUCUGGCACCGUUUAUCUGACAUUGACUUCGAUUUCUUCACAUUUCUGAAAAUGAUGAGAUUUUGUGUUAUCAACCACCUCUGCUGCAAGGAAUCCCCGUAUGAAUGCAGGAGAGUGCUGUGAAAGUCACUCAUGGGGACAAACUUCCUUCAGCACGCAAUUGUGAAAUCUUUAUUGGGAGAAGCUUUUAGUCAGAGGGAAGAACAAAAUUAAUGACUUCCCUGCAUCCAUGAAUCUAAGGAGUCAUCUUAUCUCCCGGGAAGUAGAUCUAACACAGUAGAAACAGCUUUGAAAAUAACUCAGAAAAUUUUUUUGUUAUGAAACUUCCCUAAGUUUUCACUCCGUAUUUAACUCCUUGUCCUGUGGGCUCCCAUACCACCAUGUACUUGCUUUGCAGAAUCACACUUUGACCCUGUAAAGAUUUAUUUCAUAAGUCUGUCUUCCUUAUUAAACUGUCAUUUUUUCAAGUUGCUGUUGUAAAUUUGAUCCCAUAUAGAUAGAUCUUAAAAGAGUUAAGCUACUGUUUGGUUUUAAGAAGACUUCAGGGGAUAUGUUUGGUUUAAAGUUUAAAGAUUAUCUCAGGGCAAUAGUUUCAGGGGUUCAUUCAACCUCCAUGGCUCCAUAAAUUCCGGAUUCCAUGAGAAUUUGAAAUUAUAUUCUGCAUUUCCCCCCUUUUAAUCAAGAUUCUUCUAUAGAAUCUUUGAUACAAAUAUUCAGUAAUGGUAGACAGGCACCACCAGCUCUUCUGGUCUCAUGGCAAAGGAGGCAGUUAGUUGUUCCUGGAAGUAAUUAGCCACACAUUCCAUUUGUUCCUUCUACUCCUACACCUCCCCUGUUGCUCCAGGCUGAUAGAGACCAAUUGUUGUCCCUUGAAUGGCCUCUUGCAAGCUUUUAAGACCUGGGGCACUAUUCAAGGAACUAGGAAGUAGAAGAAAAGCACCAAACAUGUUAUUAGACCAAUUAACUGAGAUGUCCCAUGAAACCAUGACCUUAACCUUCCAAACCAAUGAACCAAAUCCCAUGAGGUGUUUGGUUGUACAUCAUUAGCCUCAUCAGCUACUCAAUUUUUUUCUGGCACCGUUUUCAGUAUAUCUAUCACACAACUUUGGCCAAUUCAACUUUUUACUCGAAAGAUUA
This is a long non-coding RNA of Loxodonta africana (African savanna elephant), 1932 nucleotides long. RefSeq lists it as uncharacterized. The record is from RefSeq and is a predicted model, not a curated record. The transcript has 3 exons. Lineage: Eukaryota; Metazoa; Chordata; Mammalia; Proboscidea; Elephantidae.